This 752-nucleotide ribosomal RNA is filed under the name Vincentrachia gregoriana. RNAcentral describes it as "partial 16S ribosomal RNA". Lineage: Eukaryota; Metazoa; Mollusca; Gastropoda; Stylommatophora; Camaenidae. The record is from RNAcentral.
CACGAAAGUAAGUGAGCUAAGUAAUUAUAAUUAUUAGAUUUUUUUUAUGUGGCAUAAUAGAAACAAAUACUUACUUAGGAGUGAUAGGCCUUUCAAAUUUACAGAUAUCUUGAUAUUUUAGAAAAUCAUUUAGUGUGAAAAAAGUUAAAUAGUGAUAAGGCUAUUUAAUAUAAUUAAUAUUUAUGUCACUUCUUUUCUUGAUUUAAUCAUCAAAAUCUUCUAUAUUAUAUUAUUGUUUUAUCUACAUUAUGAAUUUUAUAAAAUUACAUUGUAACAACUUUUUAUGUAGAGAAUGUAAUUAUAAGUAUUUUAACAGCUAUUAAAAAUGAACUCGGCAAAUUAACCUUUCAGCUGUUUAUCAAAAACAUAGCUAUGAGGAUAUAUUCAUAGUAAUUUCUGCUCAAUGAGAUAUUUAAUAGCCGCAGUACCCUGACUGUGCAAAGGUAGCGUAAUAAUUUGACUUUUAAUUGAAGUCCAGUAUGAAUGAAAAUUUGAAAGGUAACUUUAUCUUUAAUAUUUAUUGAAAUUACUUAAUAAGUGCAAAUACUUAUACUUAAACGAUAGACGAGAAGACCCUAGAAAUUUUCAUUAAAAGGUUUUUUUUUCUUUUUGUUGGGGCAACAAGGUAACAUGAAAUUUACUUUGAAUUUAACAAGAAUAUAUAUAAGGUAGACUAAAUUACUCUAGGGAUAACAGCGUAAUUAACACAUGUUUGCGACCUCGAUGUUGGACUAGGAAACAAUUGCUUAGAA